GGAGGUGCAAGCGUGUCCGGAUUUAUUGGGUUUAAAGGGGUGCGUAGGCGGACAGAUAAGUCAGUGGUGAAAUACUUCGGCUCAACCGGAGAGGUGCCAUUGAAACUGUAUGUCUUGAGUGAAGUCAAAGUAGGCGGAAUUGAUGGUGUAGCGGUGAAAUGCAUAGAUAUCAUCAAGAACACCGAUAGCGAAGGCAGCUUACUUGGUUUCAACUGACGCUGAGGCACGAAAGCGUGGGGAGCGAACAGGAUUAGAUACCCUGGUAGUCCACGCUGUAAACGAUGCUCACUCGCUGUUGGCGAUAUGUUACAGUCAGCGGCCAAGCGAAAGCGUUAAGUGAGCCACCUGGGGAGUACGCUGGCAAACAGUG
Molecule: ribosomal RNA, 370 nt
Filed under: uncultured organism
Description: partial 16S ribosomal RNA
Rfam family: Bacterial small subunit ribosomal RNA
Source: RNAcentral